GAUGAACGCUGGCGGCGUGCCUAAUACAUGCAAGUCGAGCGAACAGAUGAGGAGCUUGCUCCUCUGACGUUAGCGGCGGACGGGUGAGUAACACGUGGAUAACCUACCUAUAAGACUGGGAUAACUUCGGGAAACCGGAGCUAAUACCGGAUAAUAUAUUGAACCGCAUGGUUCAAUAGUGAAAGACGGUUUUGCUGUCACUUAUAGAUGGAUCCGCGCCGCAUUAGCUAGUUGGUAAGGUAACGGCUUACCAAGGCAACGAUGCGUAGCCGACCUGAGAGGGUGAUCGGCCACACUGGAACUGAGACACGGUCCAGACUCCUACGGGAGGCAGCAGUAGGGAAUCUUCCGCAAUGGGCGAAAGCCUGACGGAGCAACGCCGCGUGAGUGAUGAAGGUCUUCGGAUCGAAAAACUCUGUUAUUAGGGAAGAACAAAUGUGUAAGUAACUAUGCACGUCUUGACGGUACCUAAUCAGAAAGCCACGGCUAACUACG
This 495-nucleotide ribosomal RNA is filed under the name uncultured bacterium. Its description in RNAcentral is "partial 16S ribosomal RNA". It matches the Rfam family "Bacterial small subunit ribosomal RNA", at positions 28 to 505 of the family's 1533-position model. The record is from RNAcentral.